This 73-nucleotide transfer RNA is filed under the name Sus scrofa (pig). It matches the Rfam family "tRNA". From Rfam's summary of the family: Transfer RNA (tRNA) molecules are approximately 80 nucleotides in length. Their secondary structure includes four short double-helical elements and three loops (D, anti-codon, and T loops). Further hydrogen bonds mediate the characteristic L-shaped molecular structure. tRNAs have two regions of fundamental functional importance: the anti-codon, which is responsible for specific mRNA codon recognition, and the 3' end, to which the tRNAs corresponding amino acid is attached (by aminoacyl-tRNA synthetases). tRNAs cope with the degeneracy of the genetic code in two manners: having more than one tRNA (with a specific anti-codon) for a particular amino acid; and 'wobble' base-pairing, i.e. permitting non-standard base-pairing at the 3rd anti-codon position. Lineage: Eukaryota; Metazoa; Chordata; Mammalia; Artiodactyla; Suidae. The record is from Rfam by way of RNAcentral.
UCCCAGGUGGCCUAAUGGUUAAGGAUUUGGCUUUGUCACUGCCGUAGCUCAGGUUCAAUCCCUGGCCUGGAAG